GAGUUUGAUCCUGGCUCAGGAUGAACGCUGGCUGUGUGCCUAAUACAUGCAUGUCGAACGAAGCACUUGUGCUUAGUGGCGAAUGGGUGAGUAACACGUACUUAAUCUACCCUCAAGUUUGGGACAACAUUUGGAAACGAAUGCUAAUACCGAAUAUUUAUUACUUCCGCAUGGAAGAAAUAUAAAAGGAGCGUUUGCUCCGCUUAAGGAUGAGAGUGCGUUGCAUUAGUUAGUUGGUAGGGUAAAGGCCUACCAAGACGAUGAUGCAUAGCGGGGUCGAGAGGCUGAACCGUCACACUGGGACUGAGAUACGGCCCAGACUCCUACGGGAGGCAGCAGUAGGGAAUUUUCCACAAUGAACGAAAGUUUGAUGGAGCAACACAGCGUGCAGGAUGAAGGUCUUCGGAUCGUAAACUGCUGUUAUAAGAGAAGAACAAGUUUGAUAGGAAAUGAUCAAACCCUGACGGUAUCUUAUCAGAAAGCACCGGCAAACUAUGUGCCAGCAGCCGCGGUAAUACAUAGGGUGCAAGCGUUAUCCGGAAUUAUUGGGCGUAAAGCGUUCGUAGGCGGUUUAUUAAGUCUAGAGUUAAAUACUGGGGCUCAACCCCAGCUCGCUCUGGAUACUGGUAGACUAGAGUUAUAGAGAGAUUAGCGGAACUCCAUGUGAAGCGGUGGAAUGCGUAGAUAUAUGGAAGAACACCAAUAGCGAAGGCAGCUAAUUGGCUAUACACUGACGCUGAGGAACGAAAGCGUGGGGAGCAAACAGGCGUGGGGAGCAAACAGGAUUAGAUACCCUGGUAGUCCACGCCGUAAACGAUGAUCGUUAGCCGGUGGGCUCAGUUCACUGGCGCAGCUAACGCGUUAAACGAUCCGCCUGAGUAGUAUGCUCGCAAGAGUGAAACUUAAAGGAAUUGACGGGGACCCGCACAAGCGGUGGAGCAUGUGGUUUAAUUUGAAGAUACGCGGAGAACCUUACCCACUUUUGACAUCUUCUGCAAUGCUAUAGAGAUAUAGUGGAGGUUAACAGAAUGACAGAUGGUGCAUGGUUGUCGUCAGCUCGUGUCGUGAGAUGUUAGGUUAAGUCCUGCAACGAGCGCAACCCCUAUCAUUAGUUACUAAUAUUAAGUUAAGGACUCUAAUGAGACUGCCUGGGUAACCAGGAGGAAGGUGGGGACGACGUCAAAUCAUCAUGCCUCUUACAAGUGGGGCUACACACGUGCUACAAUGGGCAGUACAGAAUGAUGCAACAUGGCAACAUUUAGCAAAACACAAAAACUGCUCUCAGUUCGGAUUGGAGUCUGCAACUCGACUCCAUGAAGUUGGAAUCGCUAGUAAUCGUAGGUCAGCAAUACUACGGUGAAUACGUUCUCGGGUCUUGUACACACCGCCCGUCACACCACGGGAGCCGAUAAUGCCCGAAGCCGGUUGGUUAACUUCGGAUGCUGCUGUCUAAGGCAGGAUUGGUAACUGGGGUGAAGUCGUAACAAGGUAUCCCUACGAAAACGUGGGGCUGGAUCACCUCCUUUCU
Molecule: ribosomal RNA, 1528 nt
Filed under: uncultured organism
Description: bacterial SSU rRNA
Rfam family: Bacterial small subunit ribosomal RNA
Source: RNAcentral